GGCAGACAGAAUGUGCGUGCUCCGAAGGCUGUGAGGGGCAGGCACAGCUGGAAGGGGGAAGGGAAGGGACGCCUCCUGCUGAUUCUACGGAAUCCUGAGGCUUGUCGGGAGAUCAGAACCGAUCGAGGGAGUUCUGGCUUAGUUUGACAAAGUUAGCGACAGAAGUGAGGACUUGAGGAGACUUGAGCCCAGGGAGUGGGACAAAGGGACUCCCUUGCGUGGCUACCUGUCCAUUCACAAUGGCCUCCAUUCAUAAAGAGGGCUUUGGAGGAUCUUGAAAUUCCACUUAGUGCCCUAUGGGACCACAGAACUCUGGUCUAACCACUGAAUUUUCUAGUCUAUUCGUCUGCUCUUACCUUCAACAAUGUAAGAUUGCUGCUAAAAAUCAUGGGACUGCAUCUUCCCAGACUUAAAUUUAACUAGAAGGAGGAGG
This is a long non-coding RNA of Rattus rattus (black rat), 433 nucleotides long. RefSeq lists it as uncharacterized. The transcript is spliced from 3 exons. NCBI's taxonomy places the organism in Eukaryota, Metazoa, Chordata, Mammalia, Rodentia, Muridae. The record is from RefSeq and is a predicted model, not a curated record.